This 547-nucleotide ribosomal RNA is filed under the name Alcaligenaeae bacterium enrichment culture DGGE band M81B15. Its description in RNAcentral is "bacterial SSU rRNA". It matches the Rfam family "Bacterial small subunit ribosomal RNA", at positions 339 to 906 of the family's 1533-position model. Lineage: Bacteria; Pseudomonadati; Pseudomonadota; Betaproteobacteria; Burkholderiales; Alcaligenaceae. The record is from RNAcentral. RNAcentral also lists the same sequence under 1 other name.
CUACGGGAGGCAGCAGUGGGGAAUAUUGGACAAUGGGGGCAACCCUGAUCCAGCCAUGCCGCGUGAGUGAAGAAGGCCUUCGGGUUGUAAAGCUCUUUCAGAUGCGAAGAUGAUGACGGUAACAUCAGAAGAAGCCCCGGCUAAUUUCGUGCCAGCAGCCGCGGUAAUACGAAAGGGGCUAGCGUUGUUCGGAUUUACUGGGCGUAAAGGGCACGCAGGCGGUCUUGCCAGUCAGGGGUGAAAGCCCGGGGCUCAACCUCGGAACUGCCUCUGAUACUGUAAGACUUGAGACUAGGAGAGGGUGGUGGAAUUCCCAGUGUAGAGGUGAAAUUCGUAGAUAUUGGGAGGAACACCAGAGGCGAAGGCGGCCACCUGGACUAGAUCUGACGCUCAGGUGCGAAAGCGUGGGGAGCAAACAGGAUUAGAUACCCUGGUAGUCCACGCCGUAAACGAUGAGUGCUAGUUGUCGGGACUUCGGUUUCGGUGACGCAGCUAACGCAUUAAGCACUCCGCCUGGGGAGUACGGUCGCAAGAUUAAAACUCAAAG